This is a small nuclear RNA of Anolis sagrei ordinatus, 107 nucleotides long. NCBI's taxonomy places the organism in Eukaryota, Metazoa, Chordata, Lepidosauria, Squamata, Anolidae. The record is from RefSeq and is a predicted model, not a curated record.
GUGCUUGCUUUGGCAGCACAUAUACUAAAAUCGGAACGAUACAGAGAAGAUUAGCAUGGACCCUGCACAAGGAUGACAUGCAAAUUCGUGAAGCGUUCCAUAUUUUU